UUGAUCUGGUACUUCCUGUAUAUAGGUCCACAUUGAUCGGGUACUUCCUGUAUAUAGCUCCACAUUGAUCUGGUACUUCCUGUAUAUAGGUCCACAUUUAUCUGGUACUUCCUGUAUAUAGGUCCACAUUGAUCUGCUACUUCCUGUAUAUAGGUCCACAUUGAUAUGGUGCUUCCUGUAUAUAGGUCCACAUUGAUCUGGUACUUCCUGUAUAUAGCUUCACAUUGAUCUGGUACUUCCUGUAUAUACCGCCACAUUGAUCUGGUACUUCCUGUAUAUAGCGUCACAUUGAUCUGGUACUUCCUG
RNAcentral lists this long non-coding RNA (306 nucleotides) under Salmo salar (Atlantic salmon). Its description in RNAcentral is "lncRNA (ENSSSAG00000092146.1)". The record is from RNAcentral. Lineage: Eukaryota; Metazoa; Chordata; Actinopteri; Salmoniformes; Salmonidae.